UAGCGAGGCCAUGGGGGAAAAAGUCUAACUGGCGGAACUCCUGGGAACUGGGGCGAUGGGCUCUUAGUAUCGGAGGAUUGGAACCAUCUGAUUUUUACCUGAAAUUCCUUAGUCUCUCCUGUGUUGGGGAAAUGGUCACCUUGCCUUCAGGGACCUGGGCUUUCAGCUGUCCAUACCUGGCCCUGGUUGAUGGCGGCAUGCUGGGCAGUGCACGUGAAGACGCACAUGAGACCGGGACUUGCUGUGGUGCCCAGGCUGGUCUUGAACUCCUGGUCUUAAGCAAUCAUACUGCUUUGGCCACCCAAAGCACUGGGAUUACAGGCGUGAACCACCACACCCAGCUCUUAAAACCACAGUAUUUCUAGCACAGGACUGCACCAAGGGGCAACGCAGUACUGCAGCCUUCCUCUGACUCAGUUUGGAUUCUCUCUGUCCGUUCUCACCACACUACUAAGGAGAGAACAGUGCCAGGCAGGGGAAGGAGAGGUACCUGAAGUUCUUUCUCCAGUUGAGCACGAAGCUCUUCCAUCCCCGAGGGCAGCACUAGCCUGGAGGGCAGAGAGGUCGAGCGUCUCAACAGCAUGGGGUUGGCACCAUUGAGGAACUGGUAGCCGAACAACUCAUCAUCCUGCCAGCACUGGCGAACCUUCUCUUUGGUGGGCGGUGAAAAGAGGAUAUAUGUACCACAGCCUGCAUAUCCCUUCUCCAAAGUCUACCCCAGGGGUUCAGGUAUAUAACCCUCCCUGAACCCAGCUUCUGCGUUUUCAUUCUCAAGGCCUCUCUGAGUUGACCAGAUAUGAUAAGGUCUCUUCUUGCAAAGAGUUACGGGGGACUGUGGAGGGUGAUGAGUCAUCCAGAGGGGCCAUUAAGGGAUUAUGGAGACCUGGGGGAACCACUGACCAGCCAGGGCACUCUUCUGGCCCCAGAAGAUCUGAUCAAAGUCUUCUAGGCAGUUCCAGGAGCUCAGGAGGGUGUAAACACGUUUGAGGGCCAUCUCCAGAGCCCUAGGACAGGUAUUGAGGCUUAACUCAUCAGCUGAUCCCUCAGUCCCUCACCGUCUAUCAUCAUUCUUGGCCCUCCCAGCCCUUAUUUCACUCCGAGGUCUAGCCUUUUUCUCACCCUGCCUUCAGUGUCCAUUCAAAGUCCAGCCUCUUCUCCUCAUGGAAUCUCAUAUUUGGAGGUAGAUCAUCCUUACGGUCUGCAGCGAUGGUCAGGGGUAACCCUUCCUUCCAGGUGGCCCAGCUAGGAGUUGGGGACAAAGCUUCAGGAAGGAUGUCAUGGUCAGUGAUGGGGGCAGGGGCAGGGGCAGGGAAGGGGUGGGACAGUGGUGGCGGGGUUAGUUUAAGGGGCGGGUGGUCACCAGUAGAUCUGCUGUCUGUCUUUCAGUUCCUUCUCUCGAUGCUUCUGGAACACGUCCAAAGCAUUGUCUCCUGGCAGGCGGGCUGGGGAGACAUCAGGACAAUUGGCCUCACGGCUCUGUCUGGUCCUAUGCCCGCCUGUUGUCCUCAUCUCCCUGUGGUUAGCCGUAUUCCAUGUUUUCAGCCAUGCACUGUUGCUUUUAUCUCUGGCUUUGCCUCAUUUGAUUAUCCACCAGACAUGUUUAUCCCAUCUUUGCCAACUUUGCACUCCUGCUUUCUCUUAUUUCAGCCCUCAUCCUUUGCCUGUAGAUAAAAACCUCCUGUUUGCCACCAUUCCUUGCUCCUUCACUCAUCUUCCCCUACCUGGCCUUACUUCAUCAAUAUCUAUGGUUGGAAAAAAUCACCUUAAUUAAGAUGAUGAAAUCUUAGUCACCUAUACACCUACACCUACUGUCUACUACAGAUUGCUUUGAUUAAUUUCACAUCUUAAACCUCACCUGCCACACCUUCACCUGUCCUCAAAAGAUUCUACAUUUGCUUUUUUUUUUAAACCUCAUCUUUCUGGAUUUACUAUCAUAAUCUGUAUCUAUGGACUUAUUCUGGGUCUUUUCUGCAUUUACACUCACCUGUCUCAAAGUCAUAGAUUUGAUGUUCCAUCCCUACUGCCCUCACUCAUCUCUGGAUUCAUCUCUCUUUUACUCGUUACCCAUGGUUAAAAAUUCACUAUUUGGGCCGGGCGUGGUGGCUCAAGCCUGUAAUCCCAGCACUUUGAGAGGCCAAGGAGGGCGGAUCACGAGGUCAGGAGAUCGAGACCAUCCUGGCUAAUACGCCCCGCAGCAGUUCCCGGGACCUUGUGCCUCCUUCCCCGACGCCGCCUGCUCACCGGUGCCCUCGGGCAGGCUCAGGAUGUCCUCACCCUGCACCCAGCGGUAGCACGGGAAGGCCACCUCCGCGCAGGCUCCAGGGCCCUGCACCGUGAUGCGGUCGCAGAACCACGCGUCGUCCACCAGCCAGUGGUGCUUGCGCAGCCUCACGAACUGCAGGAGCCCCAAGUCCUCUGCAACGUCAUGAUCAAACUCCUCCUCCUGUGCAGGCCGGACCCAGGCCAGACUUAGUAGGAGGGGCCCGACUGAGGCCGUUUCGAGGACAGAGCCGCGACCCUGCGCAACCUUAGUUUCUCAGGGCCUCCAAAGACAGCAUCGCCUCGUUCCCGCCCCCGCACAACCUGCUCUUUGGGUCUCAGACGCCCGGAGUCGGGUGGAGGACGAGGGCCCACAGCGCCUGGAGCUGAUGCUGGAGCAGCAUCGCCCACGUGGGUCCCAUUAACUGAGCUCUCCCCGCGCCGGUGCUUGGAGGAGCUUCACGUCUGAUCUCUGGCCUCAUACUUACAUUGGCUCUGGGUCACUGGGAGAAGGAGCUGGGGGCUGCCGGGACCAGGGGCGGGAAAGGGAGAUGGGGUUGAGCCCAGCCGGGGAUCCCAGCUGCGGACCCUGUCCCUGAUCUUGCCCACCUCGUCCCAACUUCGUGGAAGUCCCAGUCCGCGAGGUCGCGCUGUCACCUCGCCCCCAGCCUCCCGCCCUCCCGCCGCGAGCCCAGCUCGGCCCGGGCCUGGGCCCGCGGUCCCCGCUGCCCCAGCUCCCCUCGCUCCCCGCGCUGACCUCGCCCCGCGCCGGCCGCAGCUGCAGCUCCAGCUCCGCCUCCCCGCGCGCCCCGACCAGCCAAAGCUGCACGCGGUUGUACGACCCGGAGAAGAGCCAGGCCCCGGUGGCCACGCGGAUGCGGUAGCGGCCCAUGGCGCCCCCCAGCAGCUUAGGCGAGGGGAGCCGGGUCCUGUGCGAUUCCCGGGACCGCCCAGGGCUGCCGGCGCCUCGGGGCCACUUCCAACCUUUAAAGGACCGGUCUGCGGCCCCGCCCUCCUCGCAAGUUUUAGGCGCUCCCAAGUCCCCGCCCCAGACUAGCCCAAACCUGCGAGCAGAGCGGUAGAGCCGGCUGCGGGGACUGGCUGUGCCUCCUGGUCGGAGCGUAGCUGCAGGAUGAUAAAGGGGCCCGAGCCAGGGUGAGGCCAACGGGGUGGGUGCGGCGGGACCUUCCUGGACCUCCCGGGAAGGCGGGAUCGAGGUGGGCCUGAGCCCCCGGGUUGGAGCGAACAUAGAUGAGAACACUUCCCGAGGUCUCCAGGUCUUCUGGGGAGCCAGGAGGAAGUAGGGGAUGAGUCCAUCUUCCAAACGGAGGGGAAGGUCUCCGCUUUUCUGGGCUGGGACCCGGGGAAGGCAGUGGGCCGGCUUCUGGAAGGUCGGCCUGGGAGGCCGUGCUGGGGUCUGGGGAUGUCCCGCGGCUAGACCCGGCGCGGCCCAUGUGUCCUCCAGUACCUGAGCUCUACCGCCCUUGAACGCUGUACUUCCGUCAACGACCAGGGGUUCCCCAGGCUACCUAGAACCUGGAAAUGUAGCAGCUCGACACCCGCUCCCCACCCCGUUUCAAAUAUCUGGGCGCUGGGGUCCCAAUGUACACCAAAUAUCAUGGGCCAGACCUUUGAGAGAGGCCUGAGGCAGGGCAGUGAAAAACUCAUUUUGUCCAACCUCCGAAGCGGGUACAGACAAUGUUAGGGACCCAGGAACACCAGUCGGGGUGUUAGGGUGCGGGAUGGAAUUGCCUAGGGACCUGGCCUACGUGGCCAGUUCCCAAGAACUUUGUCUUUUCCAGGUGAGUGCAGCCUCUUCCGCUCCAGUCGGUUCCAAAUUAAUGUUUUAUCCCCAAGCUCUUUCCUGCUCCUUCAUGGGUCUCAGGUCUCCUGGAAAUCCAGGAACAGCAAUUAGCCCACUGCUAUUUAGGGCCUUUGUAAACAUUGAAGGAUGAUUCGGAGCUUAGGCUUUCUCUCCCGUGCAGGAAUCAGUCAGAUGAAGCCUGCUGCACGCGUCCCUGUCUAGAUCUUGAUCCAAGUGAUUAUAUGCAUUUGGCUCUCCGUGGAUGCAUCUGGUGGCCUGGGCUAGGCCAGUGUAAGGUAAAUCUGCUUUCUUGAGCCAGUCCUCAGAAAUGACUUUGUGGCCUAGUUGUUGGUAGAGGUAAGUGAGUGGGAGUUUUAGCCCCGCCUUCCAGCCUCCAGAUCAGACUCUAUCUCAAAAAAUAAAAAUAAAAAAAUAAAGUGUCUGUCCCUUACUGGAUUCAAUUCCCUUUCUUAUCUUCUAGGUCCACUCUGGCCUACAUCCUCUGCUCAGGACUGCAGGUCGGCCAUUUGCUGGUCCCCGGUUCUUUCAGUUUUCUGGGGUCACCCUAUUCUGUAAUAUCCAAAUAAAAUGGCUCAAAUUCC
Long non-coding RNA from Pan troglodytes (chimpanzee), 4665 nucleotides. RefSeq lists it as uncharacterized. The record is from RefSeq and is a predicted model, not a curated record. Lineage: Eukaryota; Metazoa; Chordata; Mammalia; Primates; Hominidae. The transcript is spliced from 5 exons.